UCAAGCUACAAAGGGCGCAUGGUGAAUGCCUUGGCAUCAGGAGCCGAAGAAGGACGUGAUAAGCUGCGAUAAGCUUCGGGUAGGCGCAAAUAGCCUGAGAUCCGGAGAUUUCCGAAUGAGGGAACUCACAUGGGAAACCCCAUGUAUCCUUAAGUGAAUACAUAGCUUAAGGAGGGUAAACCCAGGGAACUGAAACAUCUAAGUACCUGGAGGAAGAGAAAGAAAAAUCGAUUCUCUGAGUAGCGGCGAGCGAAAGGGGAAGAGCCCAAACCAGAAACUUGUUUCUGGGGUUGCGGACAGAACAUUAAAUCGAAACAAUCAUUAACCGAACAAUACUGGAAAGUAUGACCGUAGAAGGUAAUAGUCCUGUAGGUAAAAGUGAGUGUAAGAGAGUUCUGAUCCAGAGUACCACGAGACACGUGAAACCUUGUGGGAAGCAGGGAGGACCACCUCCCAAGGCUAAAUACUACCUGAUGACCGAUAGUGAAGCAGUACCGUGAGGGAAAGGUGAAAAGAACCCCGGGAGGGGAGUGAAAUAGAACCUGAAACCGUGUGCCUACAACCGAUCAAAGCACCAUAUGAGUGUGAUGAUGUGCUUUUUGUAGAACGAGCCAACGAGUUACGGUAUGUAGCGAGGUUAAGUACUUAAGGUACGGAGCCGAAGGGAAACCGAGUCUGAAUAGGGCGACUAGUUGCAUGCUGUAGACCCGAAACCGGGUGUGACCUAUCCAUGGCCAGGUUGAAGCGAGAGUAAAAUCUCGUGGAGGACCGAACCACGUUGGUGUUGAAAAACCAUGGGAUGAGCUGUGGAUAGCGGAGAAAUUCCAAUCGAACUCGGAGAUAGCUGGUUCUCCUCGAAAUAGCUUUAGGGCUAGCGUCGGAUAUGAGUAAUGGAGGUAGAGCACUGAAUGGGCUAGGGGGCAUAGCGCUUACCGAACCUUAUCAAACUCCGAAUGCCAAUAUACUAUUAAGUCCGGCAGUCAGACUGCGAAUGAUAAGAUCCGUGGUCAAAAGGGAAACAGCCCAGAUCGUCAGCUAAGGUCCCAAAGUGUAAGUUAAGUGGAAAAGGAUGUGGGAUUUCUAAGACAACUAGGAUGUUGGCUUAGAAGCAGCCACUCAUUUAAAGAGUGCGUAAUAGCUCACUAGUCGAGAGAUCCUGCGCCCGAAAAUGUUCGGGGCUCAAAACUUACCACCGAAGCUACGGGCUUAAGUUAAACUUAAGCGGUAGAGGAGCGUCGUAAUCGGGCUGAAGUCGUACCGGAAGGAGCGGUGGACUGAUUACGAGUGAGAAUGUUUGGCAUUAGUAGCGAGAUGUGAGUGAGAAUCUCACAGGCCGAAAACCUAAGGUUUCCUCAGAGAAGGCUCGUCCGCUGAGGGUUAGUCGGGACCUAAGCCGAGGCCGAAAGGCGUAGGUGAUGGACAAUCGGUUGAUAUUCCGAUACCACUAUUAAUCGUUAAAACCGAAGGCGUAACGCAGGAGGAUAGGAUGUGCUAGCUAUUGGAUGCUAGUCUAAGCACUUAGGGAGUUCAGCAAGGCAAAUCCGGCUGAACAAUUCUGAGGUGUGAUGGGGAAGGAACUACGGUUCCGAAGUAUCUGAUUCCACGCUGCCAAGAAAAAGCGUCUAGGGAGAGAGGUAGUGCCCGUACCGCAAACCGACACAGGUAGGUGAGGAGAGAAUCCUAAGGCCGGCGGAAGAAUCACAGUUAAGGAACUCGGCAAAUUGACCCCGUAACUUAGGGAGAAGGGUGCCUACGCAAGUAGGCCGCAGAGAAUAGGCCCAAGCAACUGUUUAGCAAAAACACAGGUCUCUGCUAAAGCGAAAGCUGAUGUAUAGGGGCUGACGCCUGCCCGGUGCUGGAAGGUUAAGGGGAAUACUUAGCGCAAGCGAAGGUAUGAACUUAAGCCCCAGUAAACGGCGGCCGUAACUAUAACGGUCCUAAGGUAGCGAAAUUCCUUGUCAGGUAAGUUCUGACCCGCACGAAUGGCGUAAUGACUUGGGCACUGUCUCAACUGUGAAUCCGGCGAAGUUGUAGUACGAGUGAAGAUGCUCGUUACCCGCGAUUGGACGGAAAGACCCCGUAGAGCUUUACUGUAGCUUAGCAUUGAAUUUCGG
This 2114-nucleotide ribosomal RNA is filed under the name Clostridium fallax. Its description in RNAcentral is "bacterial LSU rRNA". It matches the Rfam family "Bacterial large subunit ribosomal RNA", at positions 3 to 2127 of the family's 2925-position model. Lineage: Bacteria; Bacillati; Bacillota; Clostridia; Eubacteriales; Clostridiaceae. The record is from RNAcentral.